CUGCCCAGCCCUGAGCCUCACUGGCCCCCAGGAGCCCCGUCACUGUUGACUGAAGGCCCACAGAGCCUCCCUGCCUGCUGAAGUCAUAUAAAGCCUCCCUGAGGCCUGCUUCCCCCACCCGCCUGUGACCAUGAAGGCUGUCCUCCUUACCCUGCUGGCCAUUGGCUUGGCCCUCCAGCCAGGUGAGGCCUCAGCCAGCCAUGGGGCAGGACUGAAGGAAGGGGCAAGUGGAGGCCAGAAGGGUCCCAGGGAGCAAGCGGGAGAAGGAGGAGGGUCAGGUGGGAGGAAGGAGGCGGGUUUCUGCCCACUGGGCUUCUUGGCCCCUGGAGGGUGACUCUGGGCACAUCUGGGAAGCAAGGAUGACACCUUGCAGUGAAUUUUUCCCUACUGCCCGCAGGGUUGGAGGGGCAGAAGUCAAAGGGACAGGGACAGGGAUGCUGACCAACAGUCCUGGGAGGCACAGGGGCAAGACAUCUCAUGCUCAGAAGGGAAGGAAGGAGGCUGGAAUGAGGAGGUGCUGGGGUUGCACUGGGAAGACCCGAGGCCCCACCAGCCCUGACGUCCACUCCCUGGGAGAGCUUGUGUCCAGGUGGAGGAUCCAAGGGGAUGGUUCAGCCUGUGCUGUGGCUGGCCAAGUCACUGACCCUCUUAGACCUCAGUGUCCUCUUCUGGAAAGUGUGGGCAGGGGGCUGUCCCCCGAGGCCACCAGGAAAUUGAGCAGGCCAACACUCCAAGGGCACCCAGGGUAGGGCUGGGGAGGUGCUUGGACCUGUUUUCAAGGAGGUGCUGCGGAGCCAGCUGUAGCAGCUUUGAAGGGAGGAGACUUAAGCAGGACACCCUGGUAGCUGGGGUUACUGGACCCAGGGAGGGCAGGACCUGGCCCGGGGCCACUUGUGGUCACAUAGCACCAAGAGGCCUGAGAGGGGCUGAGACCAGGUGGGCCUAGGGGAUAAGAAGGGGUAGGCCUGAGGCCUGGUGGCCUAGGAAAGUCAGGGAACGGUCUCCCGACACCCCCACCCUUCCUCUCCAGGGCCCAGCUGGGCCCCUGCAAGACAGGGUUAGCCAGGCCACACUGGGGCCGGUCAUCUCUGCCCUUCACAGAGCAUGGCAUGGUAUGCAGCCAUGGGCUGCAACGUGGGCAUGGAGGGGAAGUCAUUCAUAGGCGCAGCAGGGAAAGUGGGUGCCAGUCCUCGGUGGACUGGGUACACCCGGGACCUCGCGAGGGGCCUGGGCUCAGGUCUGCACCCCCAGCAGUCUGGAAGGGCUCAUUCCUUUCUCCUUGCUGGUGGGGGAGAGAAAGUGUGGCAGGCCCAGGCUGGGAGGACAGCCUCUGACCUCGCUGCCCCGCCCCGCAGGUACCGCCCUCCAGUGUUACUCCUGCACGGCCCAGAUGAGCAACAGGGACUGCCACAACGUGGAGAACUGCACCCAAGGCCAGACCCAGUGCAAGACGGAGCGCAUCCGUGAGUGCCUUCGCCCGGCUCCCUCCCUGCCACUGGCUGACUGAGGAGCCUGGGCUUGGUCUCCACCACUGUUCAGCCUUCUGUCCUCUGCCCACCUGACCAUCUAUCCAUAAUCCCCACAUGCCCCACCCCUUCCAGCGCCCUCAUCACCCCACACAUCUACCCACCCCAUCCUGCACUCACCUACCCACUCAAUCUGUCUGGUGCUCAGCCCAAGGCCCAGCUGCCCUGGGUCCUUGGACAUGGACAAGACCAAGCCCCUGGUCUCCUGCUGCUGGCAGCCUUGCGACCAGCUUGGGGUGUGGCUGUGGAGCUUCAGUUAGGGACAGGACUGGCCUCCCCAGCCGUCACCAUGCCCCUCCAGGUGCAGUUGGGCUCGUGACCGUUAUCAGUAAGGGCUGCAGCUCGGACUGUGUGGAAGAUGCGGAGAACUACUACGUGGGCAAGAAGAACAUCACGUGCUGUUCCACGGAUCUGUGCAAUGCCAGUGGGGCCCACGGCCUGCAGCCAGCCACUGCGCUGGGGCUGCUCGCCACGCUUGGCAGCUUGCUGCUGUGGGGGCCCAGCCAGCUGUAGGCUCCAGGAGGGUGCACAGCCAAUGCCGUGUCCCUGACCUCGUGACCUGGCAGAGGUCUAACCCUCACCCUGCUCCCCACCUCCACAGCUCCCCCUGGGACUCCUGCCCAGUGCCUGCCUGCCCAGCAGGCUGGACUGCAGUGCCUUAGAACAGCCUGCAGCGGCUCCUCUGCAGGCCUCGGCUGCUGCUGUUGCCACAGCCCAUGUUUUGGCCACCUUUGCUCAGGUGCCUCCUCUAGGAAGCCUUCUCUGCCCUCUCCUCCAGGACUGAGCCAGGGCCCUCCAAGGCUGAGAUGAGAUGGGCUGGGUAGCAGUCGGGCUGGGAGGGUCACAAGGCCCUGGGAUCUAGAUGAGGCAGGCAGGGAGGGACGAGCCCCCCCGUUCAUGGACAACCUGGGAGCA
This 2441-nucleotide long non-coding RNA is filed under the name Marmota monax (woodchuck). Lineage: Eukaryota; Metazoa; Chordata; Mammalia; Rodentia; Sciuridae. The record is from RNAcentral.